UGGAGGACCGAACCAGGACACGUUGAAAAGUGUUUGGAUGAGCUGUGGGUAGCGGAGAAAUUCCAAUCGAACUUGGAAAUAGCUGGUUCUCUCCGAAAUAGCUUUAGGGCUAGCCUCGUUGUGAGUUUACUGGAGGUAGAGCACUGUUUGGACUAGGGGCCCAUCCCGGGUUACCGAAUUCAGACAAACUCCGAAUGCCAGAUAAAUAUCAACGGGAGUCAGACUGCGGGUGAUAAGGUUCGUAGUCGAAAGGGAAACAGCCCAGACCGCCAGCUAAGGUCCCAAAUUGUAUGUUAAGUGGAAAAGGAUGUGAUGAUGCACAGACAACCAGGAUGUUGGCUUAGAAGCAGCCACCAUUUAAAGAGUGCGUAAUAGCUCACUGGUCGAGAGACCCUGCGCCGAAGAUUACCGGGGCUAAAGUACGAAACCGAAGCUGUGGCUACGACGUAAGUCGUGGGGUAGGGGAGCGUUCUGUGAGGGCUGAAGUCGUUCUGUAAGGAACGGUGGACUUCACAGAAGUGAGAAUGUUGGUAUGAGUAGCGAAAAGAAUGGUGAGAAUCCAUUCCACCGAAAGCAUAAGGAUUCCUGGGCAACGAUCGUCGUCCCAGGGUAAGUCGGGACCUAAUCCGAGGCAUGGAGCGUAGGAGAUGGACAACUGGCAGAUAUUCCAGUACCGGUAAUGAUUGUUUGAGCGAUGGAGUGACACAGGAGGGCAGGCAGGCAGGAGAUUGGUUGUUCCUGUACAAGCGUGUAGGAUGGGUUGUAGGCAAAUCCGCAACCUGUGAGUCUGAGGCGUGAUGUGGAGGUUCCGGAAACGGAACUGAAGCUGCUGACCCCACACUGUCGAGAAAAGCUUCUAGUUAGAGAAUUACCGCCCGUACCGUAAACCGACACAGGUAUGCGGGGAGAGAAUCCUAAGGUGCGCGGGAGAACCCUCGUUAAGGAACUCGGCAAAAUGUACCCGUAACUUCGGGAUAAGGGUAGCCGCUGUUGUGAAGUCUGAACAGACGGAGCAUGAGGCGGUCGCAGAGAAGAGGCCCAAGCGACUGUUUACCACAAACAAAGGUGCCUGCUAAAGAGAAAUCUGACGUAUAGGUGCUGACACCUGCCCAGUGCCGGAAGGUUAAGGAAGGAUGUCCGGAGCAAUCCAAAGCAUUCGACCGAAGCCCCGGUGAACGGCGGCCGUAACUAUAACGGUCCUAAGGUAGCGAAAUUCCUUGUCGGGUAAGUUCCGACCCGCACGAAAGGUGUAACGAUUUGGGCACUGUCUCAACAAAGGAUCCGGUGAAAUUGUAGUAGUCGUGAAGAUGCGACUUACCCACGCUAGGACGGAAAGACCCCGUGGAGCUUUACUGU
Molecule: ribosomal RNA, 1356 nt
Filed under: human gut metagenome
Description: bacterial LSU rRNA
Rfam family: Bacterial large subunit ribosomal RNA
Source: RNAcentral